Molecule: ribosomal RNA, 305 nt
Filed under: uncultured bacterium
Lineage: Bacteria
Description: bacterial SSU rRNA
Rfam family: Bacterial small subunit ribosomal RNA
Source: RNAcentral
ACCUACGGGGGGCAGCAGUGGGGAAUAUUGGGCAAUGGGCGCAAGCCUGACCCAGCAACGCCGCGUGAAGGAAGAAGGCUUUCGGGUUGUAAACUUCUUUUAAGAGGGAAGAGUAGAAGACGGUACCUCUUGAAUAAGCCACGGCUAACCACGUGCCAGCAGCCGCGGUAAUACGUAGGUGGCAAGCGUUGUCCGGAUUUACUGGGUGUAAAGGGCGUGUAGCCGGGCCGGCAAGUCAGAUGUGAAAUCCCAAGGCUCAACCAUGGGACUGCUUUUGAAACUGUCAAACUAGAGUACGGGAGAGG